This 576-nucleotide ribosomal RNA is filed under the name uncultured bacterium. RNAcentral's name for it is "bacterial SSU rRNA". It matches the Rfam family "Bacterial small subunit ribosomal RNA", at positions 102 to 674 of the family's 1533-position model. The record is from RNAcentral.
ACGGGUGAGUAAUGCCUAGGAAUCUGCCUGGUAGUGGGGGAUAACGUUCGGAAACGGACGCUAAUACCGCAUACGUCCUACGGGAGAAAGCAGGGGACCUUCGGGCCUUGCGCUAUCAGAUGAGCCUAGGUCGGAUUAGCUAGUUGGUGAGGUAAUGGCUCACCAAGGCGACGAUCCGUAACUGGUCUGAGAGGAUGAUCAGUCACACUGGAACUGAGACACGGUCCAGACUCCUACGGGAGGCAGCAGUGGGGAAUAUUGGACAAUGGGCGAAAGCCUGAUCCAGCCAUGCCGCGUGUGUGAAGAAGGUCUUCGGAUUGUAAAGCACUUUAAGUUGGGAGGAAGGGCAGUUACCUAAUACGUGAUUGUUUUGACGUUACCGACAGAAUAAGCACCGGCUAACUCUGUGCCAGCAGCCGCGGUAAUACAGAGGGUGCAAGCGUUAAUCGGAAUUACUGGGCGUAAAGCGCGCGUAGGUGGUUUGUUAAGUUGGAUGUGAAAUCCCCGGGCUCAACCUGGGAACUGCAUUCAAAACUGACUGACUAGAGUAUGGUAGUGGGUGGUGGAAUUUCCUGU